RNAcentral lists this ribosomal RNA (888 nucleotides) under Pseudodictyosporium elegans. RNAcentral describes it as "LSU rRNA". It matches the Rfam family "Eukaryotic large subunit ribosomal RNA", at positions 37 to 962 of the family's 3401-position model. Lineage: Eukaryota; Fungi; Ascomycota; Dothideomycetes; Pleosporales; Dictyosporiaceae. The record is from RNAcentral.
AGCAUAUCAAUAAGCGGAGGAAAAGAAACCAACAGGGAUUGCCCUAGUAACGGCGAGUGAAGCGGCAACAGCUCAAAUUUGAAAUCUGGCUUUCUUGGAGGCCCGAGUUGUAAUUUGCAGAGGGUGCUUUGGCAUCGGCAGCGGUCUAAGUUCCUUGGAACAGGACGUCAUAGAGGGUGAGAAUCCCGUACGUGACCGCCAGCCUUCGCCGUGUAAAGCCCCUUCGACGAGUCGAGUUGUUUGGGAAUGCAGCUCUAAAUGGGAGGUAAAUUUCUUCUAAAGCUAAAUACCGGCCAGAGACCGAUAGCGCACAAGUAGAGUGAUCGAAAGAUGAAAAGCACUUUGGAAAGAGAGUCAAACAGCACGUGAAAUUGUUGAAAGGGAAGCGCUUGCCGCCAGACGUGCCCGUGGUGGUUCUCCUCCGCGGGCAGGCCAGCAUCAGUUUGGGCGAUCGGAAAAUGGCCUCUGUCAUGUAUCUCCCUUCGGGGUGACCUUAUAGGGGAGGCGUAAUGCGAUCAGCCCGGACUGAGGACCGCGCAUCUGCUAGGAUGCUGGCGUAAUGGCUGUAAGCGGCCCGUCUUGAAACACGGACCAAGGAGUCUAACAUCUAUGCGAGUGUUUGGGUGUCAAGCCCGAGCGCGUAAUGAAAGUGAACGGAGGUGGGAACCCUCUCUGGGGGUGCACCAUCGACCGAUCCUGAAGUCUUCGGAUGGAUUUGAGUAAGAGCAUGGCUGUUGGGACCCGAAAGAUGGUGAACUAUGCUUGAAUAGGGUGAAGCCAGAGGAAACUCUGGUGGAGGCUCGCAGCGGUUCUGACGUGCAAAUCGAUCGUCAAAUUUGGGCAUAGGGGCGAAAGACUAAUCGAACUAUCUAGUAGCUGGUUCCUGCG